RNAcentral lists this ribosomal RNA (690 nucleotides) under uncultured bacterium. RNAcentral describes it as "bacterial SSU rRNA". It matches the Rfam family "Bacterial small subunit ribosomal RNA", at positions 8 to 745 of the family's 1533-position model. The record is from RNAcentral.
AGAGUUUGAUCAUGGCUCAGGGUGAACGCUGGCGGCGUGGAUAAGGCAUGCAAGUCGAACGGGUUUAGACCCGUGGCAAACGAGGUAGUAAGGCAUAGGAAUCUGCCAUUGAGUCAGGGAUAUUCCAUCGAAAGAUGGCGCAAUACCUGAUGGUCUCUACGGAGUAAAGAUUUAUCGCUCAAUGAGGAGCCUGUGUAGUAUCAGCUUGUUGGUAGUGUAACGGACUACCAAGGCUAUGACGCUUAGGGGAGCUGAGAGGCUGACCCCCACCGAUGGAACUGCGACACGGUCCAUACUUCUACGGAGGGCAGCAGCCGAGAAUAUUCCGCAAUGGACGCAAGUCUGACGGAGCGACGCCGCGUGGUGGAUGAAGUCUUUCGAGACGUAAACACCUUUUAUGGAGGAGGAAAUUUUGACGUUACUCCAUGAAUAAGGGGCUCCUAACUCUGUGCCAGCAGGAGCGGUAAUACAGAGGCCCCAAGCGUUACCCGGAAUCACUGGGCGUAAAGGGUACGUAGGUGGUUGUAUUAGUCUUUAGUGAAAUGCUCUGGCUCAACUGGAGCGAUGUCUAAAGAAACGGUACGACUAGAGGAUGUAAGANGUAUGCGGAACUCAUGGUGUAGGGGUAAAAUCCGUUGAUAUCAUGGGGAACACCAAAUGCGAAGGCGGCAUACUGGGACAUUCCUGACA